CGAGGGCCCUGGGCCUUUGCCAGCCUUAACCUUGGAUUCCCUCCGGAGCGGCUCGCAAGGGGAAAUCUGGAAAAGAAGCAACAGCUCAGGAGGACAGGGGCGGAGGUGUCGGGCAGAUCAGAAAAGCAGAAGUUCCAGUCUCCUCAAUCCAUCAGGAAUCUGGGAAACCCACGUGCCGAUGAUCCACACCCCCCACGCUGCCCCCAACAGCUCAGCCAGUGACUGAGAUCUUCAUCCCUCUCUCUGAUCCAGCAGCCUCACACUCUGACACCUCUCCUCUGUUCUGUGGUCCCCUCCCUCUCCCU
Brienomyrus brachyistius is the source of this 305-nucleotide long non-coding RNA. RefSeq lists it as uncharacterized. Lineage: Eukaryota; Metazoa; Chordata; Actinopteri; Osteoglossiformes; Mormyridae. The transcript has 3 exons. The record is from RefSeq and is a predicted model, not a curated record.